RNAcentral lists this ribosomal RNA (301 nucleotides) under uncultured bacterium. RNAcentral describes it as "partial 16S ribosomal RNA". It matches the Rfam family "Bacterial small subunit ribosomal RNA", at positions 509 to 807 of the family's 1533-position model. The record is from RNAcentral.
CAGCCGCCACGGUAAUACGAAGGGUGCAAGCGUUAAUCGGAAUUACUGGGCGUAAAGCGUGCGUAGGCGGUGAGUUAAGUCUGCUGUGAAAUCCCCGGGCUCAACCUGGGAAUGGCAGUGGAUACUGGCUCGCUAGAGUGUGUCAGAGGAUGGUGGAAUUCCAGGUGUAGCGGUGAAAUGCGUAGAGAUCGGGAGGAACAUCAGUGGCGAAGGCGGCCAUCUGGGACAACACCGACGCUGAGGCACGAAAGCGUGGGGAGCAAACAGGAUUAGAUACCCCCGUAGUCCCUGUCUCUUAUAC